AAGUCGUAACAAGGUUUCCGUAGGUGAACCUGCGGAAGGAUCAUUACCAAUCCAAAACUAAAAACCACUGUGAACUGGCUGAAGUACUUGGGCAAAGUUUAUUGAGGGGAUCGCGUUUUUUCUUGCUGAGUGUGUGUGUGGCUUUUUUUGUCAUGCAAGACUCUGAAAGGAAUUAUUAGAUCUUUCUCAACCCUUUGCCCAACAGUAUUAACCACAAUUAAAUUUUGUUAUGUUAAACUGCUGACUUGUUGCUCUUGCAACUUGUCUGCUACAAUUGAAAACCAAAAGAUUACAACUUUUAGCGGUGGAUCUCUUGGCUCAU
This 322-nucleotide unclassified non-coding RNA is filed under the name fungal sp. Its description in RNAcentral is "partial internal transcribed spacer region". The stretch from base 1 to 46 matches the Rfam family "Eukaryotic small subunit ribosomal RNA", at positions 1786 to 1831 of the family's 1831-position model. Lineage: Eukaryota; Fungi. The record is from RNAcentral.